GCCUAGGUGGUGAAAUGGAUCAGCUCGGCAGACCGCAUAUCUGUAAGUACGGGUUCGAGUCCCGCCUGAGGUU
Molecule: transfer RNA, 73 nt
Filed under: Dictyocaulus viviparus (bovine lungworm)
Lineage: Eukaryota; Metazoa; Nematoda; Chromadorea; Rhabditida; Metastrongylidae
Rfam family: tRNA
About the family: Transfer RNA (tRNA) molecules are approximately 80 nucleotides in length. Their secondary structure includes four short double-helical elements and three loops (D, anti-codon, and T loops).
Source: Rfam by way of RNAcentral